UCGAUCAAUCGGAUGGUCGCGGGUGUCAUAACUGACUCUCGAGGAAAGUCCGGGCUCCACAAGGCAAGAUGGCGGAUAACGUCCGCCGGGGUUAGCGUUAAGGCUGACUUUAGGGAAAGUGCCACAGAAAAUAUACCGCUCGUCAGAGUAAGGGUGAAAAGGUGCGGUAAGAGCGCACCGCGCUUUGGGUAACCAAAGUGGCAGGGUAAACCCCAUCCGGAGCAAGACCAAAUAGGAGUGAACGCCCCCUUGGGGCAUCUGCGCCUUGCAGAUCACUCGGGUAGGUUGCUUGAGGUGACUGGUAACAGUCACCCUAGAUGAAUGACCAUCCAGUAGUAGUACUAUGGACAGAACCCGGCUUAUAGAUUGAUCGACCCU
This 378-nucleotide RNase P RNA is filed under the name Candidatus Paracaedibacteraceae bacterium. RNAcentral's name for it is "RNase P RNA component class A". It matches the Rfam family "Bacterial RNase P class A". Rfam says of the family: Ribonuclease P (RNase P) is a ubiquitous endoribonuclease, found in archaea, bacteria and eukarya as well as chloroplasts and mitochondria. Lineage: Bacteria; Pseudomonadati; Pseudomonadota; Alphaproteobacteria; Holosporales; Candidatus Paracaedibacteraceae. The record is from RNAcentral.